CUGGCGGCGUGCCUCAGACAUGCAAGUCGAACGCGAAAAUCCCCUUCGGGGGGUGAGUAGAGUGGCGCACGGGUGAGUAACACGUGGGUAAUUUACCUUCGGGUGGGGAAUAACAGUCGGAAACGACUGCUAAUACCGCAUAAUGCAGCGGCACCACAUGGUGACAGUUGUUAAAGCGGGGGAUCCUUCGGGAUCUCGCGCCUGAAGAGAAGCCUGCGGCGGAUUAGCUAGUUGGUGAGGUAAUGGCUCACCAAGGCGACGAUCCGUAGCCGGCCUGAGAGGGCGGUCGGUCACACUGACACUUGAAUACGGGUCAGACUCCUACGGGAGGCAGCAGUCGGGAAUUUUGGGCAAUGGGCGCAAGCCUGACCCAGCAACGCCGCGUGAAGGAUGAAAUCCCUCGGGAUGUAAACUUCGCAAGAACGGGAAGAAUAAGUUCUGGCUAAUACCCGGAACGAUGACGGUACUGUUUGUAAGCUCCGGCUAACUCCGUGC
RNAcentral lists this ribosomal RNA (495 nucleotides) under uncultured bacterium. Its description in RNAcentral is "bacterial SSU rRNA". It matches the Rfam family "Bacterial small subunit ribosomal RNA", at positions 36 to 508 of the family's 1533-position model. The record is from RNAcentral.